UGACGUGGGUGCUAGCCUCUAAGAUUUAGCCAUGCAUGCUUUGUGAACCCAGACGGGGGAACGGCGAACGGCUCAGUAAUGUUGCGGUGAUCUGCUCUGGUUGAGAAAGAUAACCACGGUAAACUGUGGCUAAGAGACCAGAAUGAGCUGCAACCCUAUCAGUUUGUUGGAAGUGUAAAAGACUCCCAAGACGUCGACGGGUAACGGGAAAUCAGUGUUUGAUUCCGGAGAGGGAGCCUGAGAGAUGGCUCCUACGUCCAAGGAUGGCAGCAGGCGCGAAAAUUGUCCACUCUUUGGAGAGGAGACAGUUAUGAGGCGUGAUUAAAAGAGCGAAGUGUAAACACCUUCGUGUAACGCAAUUGGAGGGCAAGUUUUGGUGCCAGCAGCCGCGGUAAUUCCAACUCCAAGAGUGCCCAUGGUGGAUGCUGCAGUUAAAAAGUCCGUAGUCGUAGAUGCAAUUAAAGGGUGCGGAUCAAGCGCACUGAGUUUGUUGAGUUGUAGCGGAGCGGAUAGGGAGCAUGGUAUAGGUUGGCGAGGAAUGAAAUCUCAGGACCCAACCUGGACCAACUGAGGCGAAAGCGGUGCUCUUAUACGCAUCCGAGGAUCAAGGACGAAGGCUGGAGAAUCGAAAGUGAUUAGAUACCGCUGUAGUUCCAGCAGUAAACUAUGCCGACAUUCUCUGUCCAGCGGACGGGGAAGGGAGAAAUCUUAGUUUUCGGGCUCUUGGGGAUAGUACGCUUGCAAGAGUGAAACUUAAAGCGAAAUUGACGGAAGGACACUACCAGGAGUGGAUUGUACUGCUUAAUUUGACUCAACGCGGGAAAACUUACCAGGGUCAAGUUCUCCGUAGAUCGAGUCGUGAGGGGAACGAGAGUGGUGCAUGGCCGUUGGAAAUUGAUGGGAUGACUUUUAGCUUAAAUGCUGAAACCAGUGAGAUCUUCUAGACAGGUGCCAUCCGGCACAGGAGGGCGAAGGCGAUAACAGGUCCGUGAUGCCCUUAGAUAUCCUGGGCUGCAAGUGCAAUACAAUAUCCAUGUCGAUCAAGAAAGGUGAUUAUGGAUGAGCAGGAUUAGCUCUUGUAAAUGAGCUAUGAAUGAGGAAUUCCUAGUAACAGUGUCUCACUAAGGCAUUGUGAAUGCGUCCCUGUUCUUUGUACACACCGCCCGUCACUAUUUCAGAUGGCCAUGAAGAUGAAGAGCUUCGGUUCUUGAAUAUUCAUGUC
RNAcentral lists this ribosomal RNA (1222 nucleotides) under Nucleospora salmonis. Its description in RNAcentral is "SSU rRNA". It matches the Rfam family "Microsporidia small subunit ribosomal RNA". The record is from RNAcentral. Lineage: Eukaryota; Fungi; Microsporidia; Enterocytozoonidae.